CAGGUGUGCCUGUGGAGAGCUUGUCUGUGUGAAGAGCCUGUCUGCAUGUACAACGAAUUUUUGACAGAAAUGGUAGAAAGUCUGCCAAGGGACUAUUUGUUCAGAGUGAACAAAAGUGAGGAAACGUUUGAAAGUGUUGCAAAAGCCCUUAGCAGGUUCUACAGGGAGAACUGUAAGAAGGACUUCAAAUGCAAAGAUUACACUGAAGACAAAAGAAAUUCAGCAGUAUGUUACUUACUGGAAUGUCUGGAUGGGGAGGAACCUGAGUGUGUCUCCAAUGUCAGAUACAGUCUAGCUGAGGUAGAGUUGGUCAGUUUGAAAGGCUUCAAGUGUCUGGUUAAAGAUGCAUUCAAUCACAAAUAUAAUUCAUUACAACAAGUCAGAGAACAAGAUAAAGAAUGUGAUGAUGUUUUUGUUGAUGCAGUGUGAUGCCAAAAAGCAACUACACUUGAAACAUCGAUCCCACCCAAAAUGUCAUCAUCAACAGCAACAACAACAACACCACCACCAGCAUCAUCAUUAACAUCGUCAACAAUAUCAAACAGCAGCAACAUGGAGUCACAAAGAGCAGCGAUUACAAAGGAAGGUCAUAUCAGUCAGUACGUUGUUAGCUAUCUCUCUGAUAGCUAAUAUCAUCCUUCUCUUGGGUGUUGUCUACUUGUGGACCUGGGGGAAACGCCAGCAUGAAGGCGUGUCCCCUGCAAUUCCUGAACUGACAGUAUUGAAUGCAGUAGAGGUACAUAUUCUGAUGCAGAACGGCAACGGAGAUGCUCUGCAGCACUGACCCCGUUCAGAGGAAUAAUCCAUCUCUCUUCCAUCUGCCGCCAUUUUCCCCUCGCUUUCCCAGACAAAAAUGGAGAAAUAUAUAUCCUGAGCCAGAGAAAUGGAGCCAACAGUCCUACCUCUCUGUCGCUCUCUCUCUCGCACACGCUUCACACUUCCAGGGCUGAGGCCACAACUCUUCUUCUCCUGCCACUGGCAUUCUGGAGAUACUGUUGAAUAAGAGACUUCAGAAUAAAAGCAUUUGGACGUCGUAAUAAAAGCCUAUGGACUACAUAAUAAAAGCUUAUGGACAUCAUAAUAAAAGCUCCCCUCCUUGUGUUUUAAUGAGGAGAAUGGGAGAACUAAUAAAUAUCAGUCUGUCAAGAGUUGGAUUAAGGGAACAACGGUGGUCUUGAAUGACCACCCCCUGCCUUCAGCUGUCCUUUCAGGCCAAAGAUAAUAUAUUUAUGUGAAUUGGAAGAAAACAGUGUGAUGAACAACAAGAUGAACCCUUUAGGGGCGUACAUUGGAACUGAGAUGGUCUGAAAUUGAGUGUUAUUAUACUUUGCUGAAGUGCAGUACUUUACGAACAAAACCUGCAUCCAUUCCUGACUGUGUUUGGAUGAUGUGGCUGUGUUACCUGUUGAAAGGGGAUUGUAUGAUGCAGAGGGACAUCAGAAAAAUAUCAAAGGAGUAAAUCAGUGGAAAAAAGGAUGAAAGAAAUAAAGUGAAGACCGUUUGAUGUAGAAAGUGUGUAUAUAUACAGUACAAGUCAAACGUUUGGACACACCUACUGAUUCCAGGGUUUUUCUUUAUUUUUACUAUUUUCAACAUUGUAGAAUGUAGGGAAGACAUCAAAACUAUGAAAUAACAAAUAUGGAAUCAUGUAGCAACCAAAGAAGUGAAGAUUCUUCAAAGUAGCCACCCUUUGCCUUGAUGACAACUCUGCACACUCUUGGCAUUCUCUCAACCAGCUUCAUGAGGAAUGCUUUUCCAACAGUCUUGAAGGAGAUGCCACAUUUGCUGAGCACUUGUUCGCUACUUUUCCUUCACUCUGCGGUCCAACACAUGCCAAACCAUCUCAAUAGGGUUGAGGUCGGGUGAUUGUGGAGGCCAGGUCAUCUGAUGCAAUACUCCAUCACUCUCCUUGGCCAAAUAGCCUAGAGGUGUGUUUUGGGUCAUUGUCCUGUUGAAAAACAAAUGAUAGUCCCACUAAGAGCAAACCAGAUGGGAUGGCGUAUCGCUACAGAAUGCUGUGGGUGCCUUGAAUUCUAAAUAAAUCACUGACAGUGACAGCAAAGCACCAUACCACCUCCUCCAUGCUUCAUGGUGGAAAACACACAUGCGGAGAUCAUCCGUUCACUUACUCUGCAUCUCACAAAGACACGGCGGUUGGAACCAAAAAUCUCAAAUUUGGACUCAUCAAACCAAAAGACAGAUUUCCACCGGUCUAAUGUCCAUUGCUCGUGUUCCUUGGCCCAAGCAAGUCUCUUUUAAUUAUUGGUGUCCUUUAGUAGUGUUUUUUUUGCAGCAAUUCGACCAUGAAGGCUUGAUUCACACAGUCUCCUCUGAACAGUUGAUGUUGAGAUGUGUCUGUUACUUGAACUCUGUGAAGCAUUUAUUUGGCUGUAAUUUCUGAGGCUGAUAACUCUAAUGAACUUAUCCUCUACAGCAGAGGUAACUGGGUCUUCCUUUCCUGUGGCAGUCCUCAUGAGAGCCAGUUUCAUCAUAGCGCUUGAUGGUUUUUGCACUGCACUUGAAGAAACUUUCAAAGAUCUUGAAAUUUUCUGCAUUGACUGACCUUCAUGUCUUAAAGUAAUGAUUGAUUGUCAUUUCUCUUUGCUUAUUUGAGCUGUUCUUUCCAUAAUAUGGACUUGGUCUUUUACAAAAUAGGGAUAUCUUCUGUAUACCACCCCUACCUUGUGACAACACAACUGAUUGUCUCAAACGUACUAAGAAGGAAAUAAAUUCCACAAAUUAACUUUUAAGAAGGCACACCUUUUAAUUGAAAUGCAUUCCAGGUGACUACCUCAUGAAGCUGGUUGUGAGAGAAUGCCAAGUGUGCAAAGCUGUCAUCAAGGCAAAGGGUGGCUACUAUGAAGAAUCUCAAAUAUAAAAUAUAUUUUGACUUGUUUAACACUUUUUUGGUUACUACCUGAUUCCAUAUGUGUUAUUUCAUGGUUUUGAUGUCUUCAGUAUUUCUACAACGUAUAUAUAUAUAUAUAUAUA
This 2991-nucleotide long non-coding RNA is filed under the name Salmo salar (Atlantic salmon). Its description in RNAcentral is "lncRNA (ENSSSAG00000092309.1)". The record is from RNAcentral. Lineage: Eukaryota; Metazoa; Chordata; Actinopteri; Salmoniformes; Salmonidae.